UGCAGGGCCAGGUUGAAGAAGAGUGCAAGCAAGUCGGAUUUGAGAAGCUUUCUAUUUUUCGACCAGGGGUACUGCUGGUAGACAGGGAGGAGCGACGAGCAGGAGAGGGUGUGUUUCGUUUCAUGUUAAAGCCAGUCGCAUGGAUGUUUCCAACACUCAUCACCACCCCUAUAGAGAUGGUUGCCGUGGCGAUGAUAAACAAUGUGCAGUCACCAAGCAACCAGAGUGAGGAGUUGCUAUGCAACAAGGAAAUUCACAAUCUUGCCACAGUCAAAUAAGAUGAAGGGAAUGUUCCUUGACCUUACGGUCAAUAACAGGAAUGAGUAACUCCAGAUAGUUAUUACUAGUUAAAGGGGGUAAAUGUAUAGAAGAUUGCAUGAGCUGGAACCACGAAUAUAGUAGUAGUAGUAUAAACUCGAAUAUUGGCCUCUAACAUUUUAGCAUCUAGAACAAAGAUAACGAAUUCUCAUAGAACAAAAAUUUGUUCAAUAAUGGCUCAUCCGUCAGGCAGUUGGGUCAAAUCGUGGGUAUUAAAUUGACUACAUCACGUAUCCAGAGAUAUCAAGUUUGAGAAAUGGUUGAGAGUGAGACUCAGUGUUUGACGGGGUGACACUGACCGAGGGAGCGAAGCGACCAAGGGGGGGAAGGUUGUGGGGGAGGGGGGUUUUCCCCCUCCCACGGUAUAAAGCUUUUUUUUUAAAUUUGAGGUUUGAAAUGGUGCAAUUUGGUGCAUACCUAUGGUAUGAUUUAUUGCCUUUAUAAAUAUAAGUUCUUACUCAUUUAGAUCUAAACCUAGAUAAACGUUAGAACUAGUACUAGAAACUAGUCUAGUAAAAGUGCAAGCUGAGAAUUGAAAAGUAAACAAAAUACCUCAGUAACCUGCAAAGCCAUCAUCCACUGAUGCAGGCGGGAUAUUGGAUUCCAAGCAGGCAAAUAAAAUGAGCGUAUUAGCGUAUUAUACGUAUACGGCCGGAGCGAGCUAGCUAGCUUGCCGGCCGCGGAGCGGCGCUGUUGAUCGGGCCUUAGCCUUCUGAUACUAGUAUACUGGUAUCUGGGACUGAAAAUAGAGGGUUUUAAUGAUUUAUUUAUUGAUUUUGAUUUUUGCGUGAGAAAUUCAGAGAUGAGCGUGACAGCGUGAGAACUGACCAAAAUGCGUAAGUCUCACGCUCAAUGCGUGAGACUUGCCGUGUCUGCGUAUCUCUAGCACCAGCAAAUAAUAUAUUUGUGUGUUAUUUGUACAAAAUAAACCUUGUAUUCCCAAAGUCCGGAAGGCUCAAAUAUGUGUUUUCUUUGACUUAUUCAGGAAUGUCUUAGCCGUCUUUACAGCAUUCCGAGCUUCUUCUCGUUAGCGUGAGGGUGUAGUGAGGGGAUGUUGUAGUGUGCUUCAAUUCGCACUUGAAGGCAACCCUCUGGAACUCAUAUGAGAUAAAUUGGGGGUCACUAUGAGUUACCAACUCAUCCGGAAUGCCAUAUCUUGCAAAAAGAUCAUUUAGCUUGUGGAUCGCAAAUAUUGAAGUAGUCUGGCUCAGAUUGUCUAUCUCAAGCAAAUUUGUUAGAAAUAGCCAAGGUUACAUGGUAGCAGGUGCGUCACCUACGGAGAAUAGCGCCUAUGGCGAGCACUGAAAUUGCGCCCCUGUCCAAACAUCUGACACCCAUCUUUUAGAUAGCUUUACUAUAAUAUACAGGGACGUAGCCAGCUAAACAGUGUGUGUCUGUUGGGGGGGGGGGGUUCUUGGCGCUAGAGCUGUGGACUUUCAUAGGAUGUGGCAGCAACAUAGGAUGUGGCAGCAAAGCCGCCCGCGCUAACGCGGCUAAACACGAAGCACCUAAGGGGGUGUCUGGGGGUCCUCCCCUAGACAUUUUUUUAAAAUGUAAUGGCUCCAGGUGCGAUUUCCCAGCACUUUGAAAUAGUAUUUUUGGACAUGAACUAAUGGUUUUUGAGUAACUUUUCGCCACAUAACUGACUUAUGGACUCGAUUUGUCGAGAAAAAUUUGUUUAAAUCCUCAAAUCUCAAUUUAGCUGUCAUUGAUUUGUAAAAUGAUUUAAACUAAUUUAGUGACGGUCACAUUGACCCGGUUUAAACGGUUAAUUUUAGGGAAAUAAAUAAAAACAUUACACAGUGCUUAAUUAAUUAUCUCUCACUUUAUUCUCACAAUACUGCAGGAAUCAUACAUAGACGUGUACUGAAUAUUUAUCCUGUAAUUAAUGAGUCUUACAUUUCUGGGAACUAGUUUUUAUUGUGGUUAGAAGCGUAGACAAAUACAGAUGUUCCAGAACUUUUUUUCUUUUGUACUAAUCUUACAGUGUGAAAACUCUGACACUCAUAUUGUGCGGAGUCUCGUAAUCGGACCAUUUCGAGAUUGAAUGUUACAUUGUAACAGCGUGCCCGACACAGGCCUCGUGUUGUUUGUUCGUAACUGUCUGCGAUCUGUUGACCUUUGCUUUAAUUAUGCAGAAUUUGUCAUCCGAACUGGACUUGUGUACGUGCAUGUUUGUGUGACUGUCCACUCACUAAAAUAAUAAUAUGGCUACUGCACUGUGAAUGAAUGUGUGUUGCACAAUGCUGCGAAGCAAUCGAUAAUGAGGAUCGACGAAACUUUUCAUUGUUGCUAAUUUUGUUAAUUUGUCUUGACCACAACUGCCUUGUCGGACUUUAAUAGAAACUGCUCAGUGGCGCCCCCUUCAAGUGGUGCCCAGGGCACGUGCCAUACCUGCCAUACCUUAGUUACGCCACUGCAUGGUAGCCCUCAGAAGCUAGCAUUAAGAGAUCUCUGUUAUAUUUGCCCACGGCUUGGUUCGUGCAUCAUGGGAAUGCCUGCAUGAGUACGUUUUGCUGUAAGUGCCCAUUGACUGGCACACAUGCUGCAUUGCAUCACAUUUCUUGACGUAAUAUUUCACCUCUACAUUAAUUCCUGGCCAGAAUAAGUUUCACGCUCUCUCCUCAGACGGCUACUUUCACCCAGGUGUGAUGAGUGAUUGCGAUCAAGCAUGUCCCUUCUCAUAGCCUUGGGUAUCCCAACUCUCUCACCAAUAGAAAUGAGCUCAUAAGCAGUGCUGACCGCAUUUCUGUAGUGAAAGUAUAUUGUAACACACUGAGAUAGUUGUUACGGUUUCUCUUGCAAUCCUUAAAGAUUCUCGUCCUCGUGGUAUGCAUUGGUUAAACUUUUCUUUCGGCGGUUCUUCACUGGGUAGAUGACUGAGCAAGCUCAUUUGUUCUGUCUUCGGUUCUUUCUUGUCUCUCCCCGUACCUGGAAAAUACGCACGACUCAAUAUGUUUGCAGUGUACAUUUUACUUCCUGGACGAUAUAAUCCGUACAGACUGCAAAUUUGAUACCACAUCAAACUCGUCUGUGCCUGGCGCGCGUCAAAUUUUUGCAGUGUGUACACGCUCCCUGCUCCAAAUACGCGCUGGCCCGCACCAAUUUGGCCCAGCAAAUGAAGGAGGGUCAAGCCCGGGAGAACUUUGCCCGUACCAAGUUAGCCCGCUUGUGUGUGUGUGUGUGUGUGUGCGUGCGUGUGUGUGUGUGUGUGUGCGUGCGUGCGUGCGCGUGUGCGUGUGUGUACGCAAUGUGGGGCCAGGCGCGGGUCAGAUUUCGCAAUAUGCCUGCGCAGCGCACAUAAAAGUAAAGUAGCUGUCUGCGGGGUGACGUAACGAGCUGAAAUGAGCAUGCACAGUCAAUCCGUGCCAAUCUGUGGUACGCUUCAGACUUUUGUGUCUGUACGCUACGAUUUGACGCGUGCUAUGCGCGCGCCAGGCCUGGACUAGUUUAAUGUGGGAUAAAAAUUUUGCAGUCUGUACGGGGUAAUAGACUAUGUGCGCAUCAUUUGUUUACAGUCGAAUAAUCGGCGGCUUGUCAUAACACUGGACUUGGAAGUUCCUUAUGUGUAUUGUUGGAAUAUUUACAAACAACAUUUGGCAGCAAGUAUAGCUCAUCGGUUUGAGCAGACAUUAUCUCAGUAUCUGUCGGAACUCUGAUUGCAUAUGCGUUUGGCUGACCUUACUGCAUAAUCGUCAAAGUCAAACUUUCUUGUCGUCAAAGUAGGCCUACCGUAGCAUCGGCUUUCCUGUCACCAUCUCUUCGAUGCGUUUUACUGCUUGUUCGUAGACAACUCGUGAGUUGAUAGAGAGGUUCACAUAUUCUAUAUCUGCUUCCUUUUCCAUGUGUUCUUUGCAAUGAAUAUAUUCAUGUGCAGAAAUAUGUUAUAUAACUUGAAUUAGCGUAAGAGUGCAUGAUCCUGCUUAGUGGGAAGUCGAGUGGAUAGAUUCACUGUUUUACAACAAUUGUUGCUACAAUGUAAAAAACACAUUUUGAGUUUUAUUUUGAUUCGCGAACGUUAAACAGUUCACCAAAUAUAAUUGAAAUAAUGCCUUGUGCAAUGUUUUCUUAUAAAUGUUUUCGAACUGUAAAACAGUACGGUAUUUCCUGUGUGUGAGGCACAUAUAGUAUGUCUCUAUUUACAUAUAUAUAUAAUAUCGAUGAAUUAUUCACUUGCAUAUUAGAAUGCUAUAAGUUGAGUAAUUACUUAGUUGGAGUAAUUAUGUUAGGAAGAUGUAGUGAGCGUGGUUGCCAAGACUUACCGCAUACUGGUUUAGCAACGUGCAUUUAGAUUGGGCAGCUGUGUGGAUUCAUACUAAUAAGGGAAGCCGGCAGUCUAACAAGCACAAGUCUAGUAUAUGUCAUUAUAUGUUAUUGUAUAUGAUUACUCUUGUAUGAUUAUUGUCUUAUUCUGUACUUGUUUUGAUUAAUAAUUAUUUAUUUCAUCUUCGAAGAUGUAAUUUAUUAGUAUACUGAUGAAGACAUAAACCUUGAGAUUUUUAAAUGUGCUAUGUCCCUGAACAUCAUACAGGGCAUAUAUAUAUAUAUAUAUAUAUAUAUAUAUAUAUAUAGGCAUACACACAUGUUUCUCGCUUCCCCAUAUUUAUCCAUUUCUUUCGGAUAGAGAGAAGAGUUGUCAGAGGGAUUAUUGAGGUCACAGUGUAAUAGUAGUAUAUGCUAUGUUUGUAACACCUAGGAUGUGACGUUGCUUAUCAUCGUUACAGUAGCGUGAUAGAUGUGCUGAAAGUCUGCACGUACAUCUAGUCGGUUUAUUUGCGUUUGAUGUAGAUAGACGGAAAGUAGAUAGCGGAAUGAGUAUUAUAGAGGAAAUGAAGGGCACGGAAAACGUGUCGUAGAUGUAUCGGUUAUAAGAGUCCUGGAGAUGUCAAUUCACAUUAGUAACUUUACAUAUACGGUAUAUUUCACAGGUUAUUUUUGUUUAUAUGCAUUACUUAUUGAUAUAUAACGUUGUUUGCCAGUAUGCAUUCGUAUGUAGUUUCAUUAGAUAAUUAAGAGUAAACAUGUAAACAGGAAGUGAUACAGAACUUGACAAUUUCGAUUGUAUUUGAAAGACGAGUUUGUUUUCGUGGAUAAAUUCCAUACAAUUGAGAGACAAAAAUGUAAAGUUGGAUGCGUUGUCAUCACAUCAGGAGUCUAUAAAUAUUGAUAGACUCCUGGUCGUAUUAUAUACUGGAAAGCAGCGGGAAAGCCGAAAUCACCCGAAUGAAAUAAAAUUACGGCGAAAUAGUGA
Priapulus caudatus is the source of this 5569-nucleotide long non-coding RNA. RefSeq lists it as uncharacterized. The record is from RefSeq and is a predicted model, not a curated record. NCBI's taxonomy places the organism in Eukaryota, Metazoa, Priapulida, Priapulimorpha, Priapulimorphida, Priapulidae. The transcript is spliced from 2 exons.